Non-coding RNA from Rhodopseudomonas palustris CGA009, 139 nucleotides. The record is from Rfam. NCBI's taxonomy places the organism in Bacteria, Pseudomonadati, Pseudomonadota, Alphaproteobacteria, Hyphomicrobiales, Nitrobacteraceae.
UGAGCCGCGCGCUUGGGAGAGCGCCUGCGGUUCGCACGAUCCGCCACCGGUCUGGGAGGGCUUGGCGGCGGGUCAUUCAAGGGAGAACCACCGAUGGAGAAUGCUCUUCUCGUCGGACUGUCACGGCAGGUCGUGCUCG